GCUCCACAGUUACACUCCAAACGAGUUUCACAAGCAGCUUCAGACUCCAUUCACACUCCAAAUCUUGCUCCUCAGUGCCACAUUCUUCCAUCACCGCUGUUCCAUAACCACAGUCAUCCACCGCAUUCUUCCAUCAUCAACACAUUUGGGACUUCCAUCACUCUCGUCGUUGUCAAUCAUCACUCUCGGUCACUUGAACAAACAGAACCUGGAGUUUUUCUGAGCUGGGUUGGAGCUGAAUCCAAGGUACGGAAGCUUCUCAGUACAUCCAGUUGGGAAAGCUAUUGUGGAUGCUGCUCAGAAAGUUAAUUGUACUAACGCUAAGGUUACAGAUGGAACAUUCCUUGAAGAACCUGGUUCUGGUGCAGUAGCAACUGUUGAUAACAAAAAAGUCUUUGUUGGGACAUUGGAUUGGAUCACCAGGUACUGGAGUAUUUGAUUUUUAUCAUUCUCUGAAAAUAUACAAGGUAGGAUGCACCUCAAAUUUUAUUUAUUUUUAAAAUUUAAUUUAUUUAAAGGAAUUUUUUUCCAUUUUUUUCAAAUGAA
Molecule: long non-coding RNA, 546 nt
Organism: Arachis duranensis
Lineage: Eukaryota; Viridiplantae; Streptophyta; Magnoliopsida; Fabales; Fabaceae
Exons: 3
Source: RefSeq, a predicted model, not a curated record